CUCAACGAGCACCCUGGAGGAGAAGAGGUUCUGCUGGAACAAGCUGGUGUAGAUGCAAGUGAAAGCUUUGAAGAUGUAGGACACUCUUCUGAUGCCAGAGAAAUGCUAAAGCAGUACUAUAUUGGUGAUAUCCAUCCGAGUGACCUUAAACCUGAAAAUGGUAGCAAGGACCCUUCAAAAAAUGAUACAUGCAAAAGGUUAGUAUCCCCUUAACAGAUUUCUGUAUGUUCAAGGUAAUGUCUGGCAAGAGACUCUUCCAUAAGUAUGUGUAUGUAACAUAACUUAUGAGCGCAGUUUGACAACUAAUUCUUUUUUGGCCCAAAUCAUUGCAAAUUCAGUUGUUCCUUGACAUUAGAAAAAUUAACUUUUACAGUUUCAGCCAUUUUGGAUAAUCUAAAAGGUUCAUGCCUUGAGUCAUUUUUUAAUCUUAUUGUGACAUAAAUUGGAAUCACACUCAGUAAGAGGCCAGGAUGCAUGGACAGGUAGCUACUAUUAGGUCAGCCUUUAGUCCCGAAGUUCAACCCAGCUACAUGAUUCUACUUAAAACUUAAUCUCAUUUACUUCUCACAACCACUCUGUAAGGUAAGUGCUAUUAUUACAUUUUGCAGGAGAAAAAAAUACUACGGUCAUAUUUAGGAAUUUGGGUUU
This 648-nucleotide small RNA is filed under the name Pongo abelii (Sumatran orangutan). RNAcentral describes it as "retained intron". Lineage: Eukaryota; Metazoa; Chordata; Mammalia; Primates; Hominidae. The record is from RNAcentral.